This 1368-nucleotide long non-coding RNA is filed under the name Anser cygnoides (Swan goose). Its description in RNAcentral is "lncRNA (ENSACDG00005013360.1)". The record is from RNAcentral. Lineage: Eukaryota; Metazoa; Chordata; Aves; Anseriformes; Anatidae.
GGGCUCCGGGCUGCUGCGCCGCCGAGCGCCCGCAGGAGGAGGCAGCGGGGAGAGGGAGCGCGCCCGGCGCACGGGGGGUCCCGGCCCCGCGCUGCGCCCCCCCGGGGCUUCGCCAGCCCCAGCCCCGCCUGCAGAGCCGCCGGCGAACGGGGCCACGCCGGUGGUGCCCGGGAGGAGCGGAGGGCAGGUGCUCGGCGCCGCGUUGGGCACGGCCCCGGGCCCGGCGGCGCGGCUGUGAGCCCCCGAGGGGGGGUCCCCCCCAGCCGGCCUCUCCCCUCCCUGCCCUCCGGAGCAAACGGAGGCGGCUCCGUGGCCCCCCCCGGCCCCGCCGCCGGUGGUCACGGAGCUGGAGCCGAGGCUUUGCAUGCGUCAUCCCCUCCGCGUCAGGAGCAUGCCUGGCACAGGCAGAGCUCCUCCGCGGGCCUCGCCGCACGCUCCGCCGCUGAGCAAGGAGCAAGGACGUCACUCGGCCCCGGCGGGGGGGGAGGAUGGGGGCCAUCCUUCCAGGAAGCCCCCCCGUGGGGCACGCCAGACCACCCCGCUUCUCCCCCCGGCGUGGGGCACGCAGCCACCCUGCCGCCACCCCGCCCGGUGUCCCCGCAGGGGCCAGGGAGGGGACGUCACCCGCAGUCCCCACCGAGGGGUGCGGGAUGCGUUUGGGCACGCGGAUGCCCCGUGCCGUGGUGGGGAGGUGACAGCCCUGCCCAAAAGGGGGCAUCCUUCUCCCUGGGGCACCACCCGGCUGCCCCGGCUGCCAUAGGGCAGCAAGCCCAGGGCCACCUGCGUGGCAGGGCAGGGUCCUGCCGCACCGGCUGUGUGCUGGGGACACCAGGAGAGCCACCCGCAGCCUCACCAUGGCCCCUGUCCCCGUCUGUCUCGCAGCCAGUGGCACCAGCACCACACGGUGCUGGGCUCCAUGUGCCCAGCUCUGGCAGGCUGCGAGGGCUGUGCUCCAUGGCCCCGAGUGCCCCUUCUCCCCCACCAUUCCCCUUGACCCCACGGCCAUGGUUAGGGAUGGAGAAGCCCCCACCAGGACCCCCGUGUGGGCAGGACGUGGGGGGAAGCGAGGCAGGGCCAGGUCUCACCCCACCGCGCAGCGGGGCAGGGCUGCAGCCAGGUGCUGAUCCCUGCUGCCUCCUUUCCCCCUCUCUGUGGGCACAGAGCGGGCUCCGGGGGGGCUCCCCCACCCCUUUGUGCAGGCUGCAAAUGAAAAUCCCAGGCAGCGCGCACAUCCCCCGCUCACCGCUGGCCCAUUCGCCCAGAUCCUGGCCCCGCGGGGUUUGUCCCGAGCUGCUCCUGCCCCCUUUCCACCUCCUUCCCGGGGCUGCUCCCCUCCUCGAAAGCAGCAGGGCAGCAGCUGGGAGGUGA